RNAcentral lists this ribosomal RNA (548 nucleotides) under uncultured bacterium. RNAcentral describes it as "bacterial SSU rRNA". It matches the Rfam family "Bacterial small subunit ribosomal RNA", at positions 365 to 908 of the family's 1533-position model. The record is from RNAcentral.
UCGGCAAUGGGCGAAAGCCUGACCGAGCGACGCCGCGUGCGGGAUGAAGGCCUUCGGGUUGUAAACCGCUGUCGUUGGGGAGGAAGUGCAGGGGGGUUCUCCCCUCUGUUUGACCUAUCCGAGGAGGAAGCACGGGCUAAGUUCGUGCCAGCAGCCGCGGUAAGACGAACCGUGCGAACGUUGUUCGGAAUCAUUGGGCUUAAAGGGCGCGUAGGCGGGUGUUCAAGUCCGGGGUGAAAGCCUCCAGCUCAACUGGAGAAGAGCCCCGGAUACUGUUCACCUGGAGAGAGAUAGGGGCACAUGGAACUUCCGGUGGAGCGGUGAAAUGCGUAGAGAUCGGAAGGAACGCCGGUGGCGAAAGCGAUGUGCUGGAUCUUUUCUGACGCUGAGGCGCGAAAGCUAGGGGAGCAAACGGGAUUAGAUACCCCGGUAGUCCUAGCCCUAAACGAUGGGUACUGGGUUGCGGGUCAGACAUAGACUCGCAGCCGAAGCAAAAGUGUUAAGUACCCCGCCUGGGGAGUAUGGUCGCAAGGCUGAAACUCAAAGGA